This 465-nucleotide ribosomal RNA is filed under the name uncultured bacterium. RNAcentral's name for it is "partial 16S ribosomal RNA". It matches the Rfam family "Bacterial small subunit ribosomal RNA", at positions 28 to 507 of the family's 1533-position model. The record is from RNAcentral.
GACGAACGCUGGCGGCGUGCUUAACACAUGCAAGUCGAACGGAAAGGCCCCUUUGGGGGUACUCGAGUGGCGAACGGGUGAGUAACACGUGAGUAACCUGCCCUUGACUUCGGGAUAACUUCAGGAAACUGGGGCUAAUACCGGAUAGGAAUCCUUGCUGCAUGGUGGGGGUUGGAAAGCUUUGGCGGUUUUGGAUGGACUCGCGGCUUAUCAGCUUGUUGGUGGGGUAGUGGCUUACCAAGGCUUUGACGGGUAGCCGGCCUGAGAGGGCGACCGGCCACAUCGGGACUGAGAUACGGCCCAGACUCCUACGGGAGGCAGCAGUGGGGAAUAUUGCACAAUGGGCGGAAGCCUGAUGCAGCAACGCCGCGUGCGGGAUGACGGCCUUCGGGUUGUAAACCGCUUUCAGCAGGGGCGAAGCUUGUGGUGACGGUACCUGCAGAAGAAGCACCGGCUAACUACGUG